CCGGCACGGGUGAGUAACACGUAUCCAACCUGCCGUCUACUCUUGGACAGCCUUCUGAAAGGAAGAUUAAUACAAGAUGGCAUCAUGAGUCCACAUGUUCACAUGAUUAAAGGUAUUCCGGUAGACGAUGGGGAUGCGUUCCAUUAGUUUGUUGGCGGGGUAACGGCCCACCAAGACUACGAUGGAUAGGGGUUCUGAGAGGAAGGUCCCCCACAUUGGAACUGAGACACGGUCCAA
This 237-nucleotide ribosomal RNA is filed under the name uncultured bacterium. RNAcentral describes it as "partial 16S ribosomal RNA". It matches the Rfam family "Bacterial small subunit ribosomal RNA", at positions 100 to 334 of the family's 1533-position model. The record is from RNAcentral.